This 269-nucleotide unclassified non-coding RNA is filed under the name Archaeospora sp. RNAcentral's name for it is "partial contains 5.8S ribosomal RNA and internal transcribed spacer 2". The stretch from base 1 to 71 matches the Rfam family "5.8S ribosomal RNA", at positions 84 to 154 of the family's 154-position model. Lineage: Eukaryota; Fungi; Glomeromycota; Glomeromycetes; Archaeosporales; Archaeosporaceae. The record is from RNAcentral.
GUGAAUCAUCGAAUUUUUGAACGCAUAUUGCACUCUCUGGUAUUCCGGAGAGUAUGCCUAUUUGAGGGUCAUUUGAUAUCAUAUCACUUUCGAGAGUUUCUUGUCUUCUACAAUGGGACGUUCCAGCAUUCGUGUGUUGGUCGCCUAAUAUGCAAGACAAGCUCAUUUCUUGGGUUGCGUGAUACUUUCCGUUACCUCUUGACUUCACAAGGAACCUUUGCGCGUGUUAGGAAUUGUUCACGAGAUAAACUUUCAUUUAUCUCGAUCUC